This 537-nucleotide ribosomal RNA is filed under the name uncultured bacterium. Its description in RNAcentral is "bacterial SSU rRNA". It matches the Rfam family "Archaeal small subunit ribosomal RNA", at positions 726 to 1260 of the family's 1478-position model. The record is from RNAcentral.
AGCUAAUAGAUACCCGGGUAGUCCCAGCUGUAAACGAUGCAGACUCGGUGAUGAGUUGGCUUUUUGCUAAACUCAGUGCCGCAGGGAAGCCGUUAAGUUUGCCGCCUGGGGAGUACGGUCGCAAGACUGAAACUUAAAGGAAUUGGCGGGGAGCACCACAAGGGGUGAAGCCUGCGGUUCAAUUGGAGUCAACGCCGGAAAUCUUACCGGGGCGGACAGCAGAGUGAAGGUCAAGCUGAAGACUUUACCAGACAAGCUGAGAGGAGGUGCAUGGCCGUCGCCAGCUCGUGCCGUGAGGUGUCCUGUUAAGUCAGGUAACGAGCGAGAUCCCUGCCUCUAGUUGCUACCAUUAUUCUCAGGAGUAGUGGAGCUAAUUAGAGGGACCGCCGUCGCUGAGACGGAGGAAGGUGGGGCUACGGCAGGUCAGUAUGCCCCGAAACCCUCGGGCCACACGCGAGCUGCAAUGGUAAGGACAAUGAGUUUCGAUUCCGAAAGGAGGAGGCAAUCUCUAAACCUUACCACAGUUAUGAUUGAGGG